This is a long non-coding RNA of Pseudopipra pipra, 6593 nucleotides long. RefSeq lists it as uncharacterized. The transcript is spliced from 2 exons. The record is from RefSeq and is a predicted model, not a curated record. NCBI's taxonomy places the organism in Eukaryota, Metazoa, Chordata, Aves, Passeriformes, Pipridae.
UGUUUGAAAGUAAACAAGCCAAUAAAAAAUAAAAUGCCAGCAAUAACCUAAAUUUCAGAGAAACUAGUGUCCCCUCCCUUCGGGGGUCAACGCCUUCAGGAACGAUCCCGAGCACAAGGCGCACCACCGCGGUUUUACUGCCCCGAACUUUGCAUGUUUCUACGAGGCCGAGCAUCUACAGCCUGACCCUGGACCUGCGGCUGCCAGCCAGGCAGGUACCAAAGCUGAAUCCUGUUCUAACACCUCCAGAGGAAGGUUUUGGCAGCUGAGCUGAACCCACUACCACACAGGCUCAAUGUCCUCCACCCAGGAGCACCCCUCCACUUCUGCUGCACUGCCCAUCUCCAGAUUCCUCAAAGUCUGCUUUGCUUUCGCAAUGGGGACCUAUACCAAGACCAAAUCCAACUGUAUGCUCCUCUGGAACCAACUUUACAUCCAUUAUAAGCUGCAUUUGCAACACUGUUCGCUCUGCAGCCACACAUAACUUCCACAAACAGCAGGCUCCUCUGGGCCUUGUCGGGCUCCUCUUUCAUAGGCCUGCCUAAAGUCUAGACUCAUGCUGGACUAACUCCGUUGGCACCGUGACCAGACAGAAGUGGACCAAUGCCUUGAUCAAAGACAGCAAAUGUUCUUCUAAGCAUGCUGUUCCUAAGGAUGGAAGUAAAAACAUGCAUGAACGUUUCCCCUUUACAUUACCGGAAAGGAAACUGAGGAGUGAUUAGUACAAUAAACUCCAACCGUAACGUAAAUGUGCACUGAACAGCAUGAGUAGAAAGCAGUGUAUAGGAUCCAUCGUGGGGCAUAUAAAAUCGAGUUAAACAGAUAUUUUCUGGUUUAGGGUUUGUUUUUUCUUUCUCCUUAAAAAUUAUCUAGGUCUCCUCCUACUGAAGUUUUACAUUUUUAUAACUGUAGUAAGUGCUCACAUCCUUUCCACCACUGAAGCUGAGAAACUCUAUUGAUGACACAUAGCCUAAACCAACUUGUUUUUCUCAGUUCCCAGCACUCUGUUACAAUUUAAUUUGUUUAGGAUAAACUGUUGCUUUUAUUGACAGCAAAGUAACAUACAUGGCUCAUAGUUAUUAUUUAGGUAAAUCUGGAAGAGUGUUUGGUGCUUUGCCUUCAAGAAACUCAAGGAAAAGUCAUUUGUUUCCUAUGAACUCUGUCAUACUUACUCCUUUCCAGAAUGGCUUUAAAAACUGAAAUUUCUUAAAUUGAGAAUAUCUUUUCUCUUAUUGAUUCCCAUCUACCAUUGUUAUGGCCAGGAUUUCCCUGUCGCAUUAGAAUCAUCUGCUGACCAUCACAGUUACUUAUGUGUCUUUCUGAGUUGGUACAAAGCAUGAACGCAACAUACUGUGUAAGUACUAUUUUUUAACUCCAUCCACAUCACAGCAAUGAUGCAGCAAAGACUACGCUAUUUAUCUCUUGCUCUGCUGAGAUCAUAAACUGGUUUAGCUGAUAUUUCAUCAAUUACCAAGCGUACAUUUAUCAAAAUAACAAUGAAUAUUAGAUUAGUCAUAGCUUUCCAUCUCAGACUUGAGAACUGAUCUCUCUUUCCUCAUCUGAAGAUAAAUUUAGAUUGAUUUCUGAGAGAGAUGGGAGUGCUCAGAUCUCAGCCAGCAAAAAAUUUAUAGGAUAGAUGGACCAGCAACACUUCAUUUCAAAGCCUGUCCCCAGACAACAAAUAUCCAGCAUGUCAUCUAAGUGUUGUAGGUAGUUUGACCUGCUGUUGUGGUCAAAAAGAUGACAGACAUUCUUUAGAAGGAGGAGUGGUCUAUAUUUCUUCUUUAUGUCAUAAAAUGAAUUGUCACAACAUUUUGAAAAUAUUAUUGAUUUUUGUAAUUGUAUGAGACUAUAUUGCAUGUUUAUGCUUCUUCGCUCUUUUUCUUAAUGAGAACAACAAGGCUUAUGGUUGGCAUGAGAGCACUAAAAUCUAUAUUAGAUAUUGCCAGUCACUACUGGGAGUAGAUUCUUGUGCUGCACAGCAACCACUGCAUCAUCAAUGAUGGUGGUAGAGUCCAAACGUGUUUGUGGUUUUCCUGCACAAAGAACACCUCACACUUGGGAUCAUCUUCAAAGUAGGAAACGUGUUUUUCCUUGAUCGUUAGUACCGCAUCACUGGACAAGGUCUUAGUUAUUCCCUGGUUAUUUGGUUUAUGCUACUGACAUCCUCUCUCAGAACUGGCUUUAAACCCUUGGUAAUACAACAUCUACACACAUAAUGAAUGAAUUCAAAGUGAGGGACAGCAUGACCUCAUGACUGCUCCCGUAGUGCACUGUCAUUGCUAUGCCUGCAUUAUACAGGGCAAACCACUUUUUUAAUGCAUGGCUAAGUCAGAGCCCUUCUAGGAGAAGAAAUUGCCUUUGCUUUUACAGACAAUUUUAUCACUACAGUAAGGCAAAGGAGUUGCUUUUCUCAGAGGAAGGUGCUCACUCUUUUACUACUAGCACAUAGCUGGCAAAUUGAAUGCAAUUAACUCUUCUUCUGCUGUUCUAGUUUUAUCUGGCUUGAGUGACAUAAAGAAAAGCUCAAGCCUAGGAGCAGGCCUUACAGUGUAGUUUUAAAUGUAUUUCUUUUCUGUGAUUAGAGAGAGGUGGCACACAGCAGUGUAAUGUGUCCACACCUUGCAGGAUGCAACUGCUGGGCUGAAUGGUGCACAUUCCCUCCAUUAGCACGCAACUGCUGUGAUAGAAAAUGUGUGCCUUGGCUUUACAUUGGUAGGGAAGCAAACUGCAAAACUAACCACUUACAUGGGAAAACAAACCAAAAAAAUGUGUAAAAUAGUAUUUUGUUAUCCUUUAAAAAAAAAAAAAAAAAGCCUGUGUCUGAAUUUAAAGCAAGCGGGAGACGCUGAAGUUCCAAGAUAAAUUUUUACAGAAUAUUGGAUAUCUGAGAAAAAGUGAUUAAUCACUGUAUCAUCACAAUCUCUCCAAAGGUCAUCCCAGUGCAAACUUUAGACAUUUCUGCCAUCACCCUCAUCUAGGACUCAUCAAGCCAAGCCAAACAACAAAAUUCAAAUACUGCACUGAUUACCUCUUCAGGGAACUUUGUUUUUGAAGACUUAUAAGCAAUACUGAGCUCUGAACCAUUAACUUGGGCUUUGUGAAGAAAGGGUUGCUUUCUUUGGAAGAUGGCACACCACCGUCCAGGUGAAAUUCAAUAGAAAUAGAAUCAGUAUUCUAGAAGGCAUGUUGGCUGCUUCAGAUGGUGUUAAACUUACGUUAAAAAGAAAGGUGAAAAGGAGACAAAAAUGAAAGUAUUGAGAACAAAAUAGAAUCUCCAAUAGGCAUGAAUAGAAGAGAUGCUUUAAUUGACUAUGUAGAAGGAGCAUAACUGAUAGAAAAAGUGUUGGAAUUGUUGAUUUAUGAGCAUAAAUUCAAUGGUGCUGAAUAUUACUGUAAGCUUGUAACAUGAUUUGCAUGACUGGAGUGUAGAAAAUUGGCUGUAGUCUGCUUAGAAAGGGAAAAGUGCACAAAAAAAAGGAAAAAAUCAAAAUACGGUUCUGUGUGUCAGCGUUACUGACAUCUCAGGAAAGGUUAUUUGAAUGUUUAUGGAUUGUGUUUUAAUGUUUAAAACAUAAAAUGAAGCAUUUAGUGCCUACUGCAAACCUCACAUCAUAUGAAAGAACAAAAUGACAAGAUCCUUAAGUAUCUUUUACAAAGAAAGAGAAAGCUGCUAUCACUGAGCCUUCACCUUGAAUGACAUUAUUCUGCCAAUAGUGUAACAUCCUGUAAAUAUCUAAAAAUUACAGGUGACAAGUCAAAAAGUUAACCUUGAGCAGGAGGAUUCUAAAUGUGACCUCAUUUUAACACAAGGAGAGGGAAAGCUCACUCCAACUGGAAUCUAAAAUCUGAGUGUUUGCUGUGCCUAAGUUUUGGAAAUUGGAGCCCAGAAUAGAAUCCAGAAACUAAAAAUGGGUACAGCCUAUGAAUUCGAAACAUUUCUUUUAGAGAAGUUUUGCAGUCUGUGUUAUGCAAAAAGAUCACACGCUAUCUCCCUGGAGUUCAAAUGCAUAAGCUUUCCUAUGAGGAAGAAAAUGAUAACUCAUUUGCUGUCAAGACAAAAAGAAGUGUAUACAGCUUUUUAAAUACCAGAAAGAUAUACGACAGUUAAAAUUAUCAGACUGAAAACGUAUGAAAAUAUUCGGAAAAGCUAAAAGCCCUGUUUUGUUUCUCUUUUUCAUUCAUCUUCUCAUUGGUACUAGUAAGGAAUGUGAAGUAAAUCCAGAAGAGAUUUCUAACUGAAGCAAUAAAGGUACAGGAAUCAAGAAUUCUCAAAACCAGUUUCCCUAAGUAGGCAUGAUGACUAACAUACUUUUACAGGCAUCAGCACUUCCAAGCAAAAAUUCCACAUUUUUUUUUGGACACAGGAGAACUGCUUGCUGCUGUGAUCAUAUUGGCUGUAGUGGCAGGAGAAUUCAUGUGUAAGUGCCAGACGUGGAAGAAUUUGUUCCUUCACUGGCAGGAGUUAUGCAGUGAUCUGCAGUGCUGGGAAGUACACUACCUCAUUCUGGAAUUUAACUCUUUGCCCACAAAUCACCACAUGGUGCAAUUAAUUUUUUCAAUGAUUAUUAAAUCACUUUAUUGCAGAUUCUCUUCUUUUUAUCUUUUCUUUUUCUUUUCUUCCCCCUCCCCCAAUAAUCCCUUGAUUGCUAACCCUACUGUUUAGGCACUUGCUUCUUUUCACUAUACAAAAGGUUAAUUUUGACAUUUUCUUCUGCUGUUGACAUCCUGUGAAACAAAAUUGGAUUGCUAAAUGCCCCCCUGGAGAGAUGAGGCUGUACCACUGCCAAAAUGGACCUCUGUAUUCUAGAAGAAACUAGCCUAGAAUUGAAAUGGUAGUGCACACAGUGGAGGCUGUCCUCCCUGCCAAAGCCCUGCUAUGGCUCCAAGAGCUCACUGGGCAAGCACAGCACUGUGUGUGGGCAUUCAGCACAUGAAACAGCUUCAAGAGGACCUUUACUCUGUAACUGUAGAAAUAAAACAUCAAGGAAGGUUAAUCAACUCAUUGGCAAGAAGGAUCAGUCUCACUAAGGUGGUAACUACCUUAGCACUUGGAUUGAACAUCUGUGUGCAGGCUUGGCAAUGAAAUGUUUUUCGUAUUGAAAUGCUCCACUAGGGAAAAAUUCCCUUGCUAAUGAAACAAAACUGCUUCAAUAGGUUCUUAGCUCCGACACUGACACUGUGGAACCAUAGCCCCAGUGAGUUAGCUCCUGUGCUGCUGACACAGAACAGAAAUCAUUGUGCUGAGGAGUUAAUUCCCACCUGAAAAACAAGCAUUUACUAGAAUAAGGAAGCAAAAUUACUUGCCUGUAGGAAAGUGAUGUACUUACUCACCGAUGCAAUUCAACCUUUGCAAUGUAACUUUAUUUAUACUCUCGAAGUUGAAAAAUUAUCUUAUGAAAAGACAAGAGAUUUCAGUGUGUGUGUGUGUGUGUGUAUGUGGUCCAUAAACUGAACAAACGUGAUCAUAUUGCCAAGACUCAUAGUUACCCACCCAAAGAUAGGUAACUCACAUGUGAGUCUGUGGUUCAAGUUUAUGAGUAACACAAGUUCUGAUGAAUGUUUUAAUCAGAAAAAAAUAAUUCACUGCAACAGACUUCGUGAAAUCAUAAGUUAAAAAGGCGAAAUUAUAAUUCAUGUGGCAUUCUGUAUGUAUGCAAAAUUCACUUAUUUCCAUGUAAAUGAGGCAGACAGAGGAAAAGCAAUGAGCAAGAGAGAGAGAUAACCCUGUCUAGUUUUUCCUGUCAAGCACAAGCAUCUUUCAAUGUACGACUGCACUAAAAUCUUUAAGUCAGGGAUUAGGGAUUCUGUCUUUGCUGUACCAUUUAAACUCUGGAUAUCCAUAAGAUUAUCUUUCAUUAGAAUUUUGCCUAGCAUGUCCCUCAAGACUGAUAUAUUGUACACCGUCACUUAGACUGUAUGGGACUUUGGUCCCCAAUGUGUCAUUUGCCUACCUCACUGGGAAAUAAGUGGGAAUUAAAUUCAAAAAAAUGAAUAUGAACUAGCUUUAUUUCAAAAAUAAAAAGAAUGUUUAGGCUCCUGAGUUUCAUCAGCUUUCAAUGGAUGCUGGGGACUUUCUUGCCUUCUCUGCCUUGACAAUUUCCUCUGAGGUUUCAAUGUCGACCAUGAAUAUAAAACCAAAAGCUCUAUAGAAGAUCUACUGCAGCCAGAAAUCUGUAUGAAUAUAAUGACUUUACAAAAUAUCUCAAGAGACUGAAUAAUCUUGCUGCAGGACAAAGACAGAAAAAAAAGAAAGUCAGUGGAUUUGGAGUGAGAAAUAUGUAUGUAAUAUUUGAUCUGUGUUAUUUUAAAACAGCUACAAAAUAUGAUUCAUACUAACCUAGGACUGGAUUACCAAUCAGUCAGCCUAACCUCUUCCAGGUCCUGGAAUAUGUAUUACAUAGUCCUGUCUAUAAAAUGAUCACUUUAACAUCAGAAUUUUUGCUGUAUCUUUUUCUAUUCAAAUAAUGUUGAAUGUGUUAGCUUAAAACUAUAUAAAUUCUGCAUUAUUUAUGACAUAAUUAAAUAUGUCCUGAUAGAUAUUGGUAACUUUUUCUUAAGGGCUAUCAAAUAAACAACAGCUACUAAGUAAG